GAUGAAGAACGUAGCGAAAUGCGAUAAGUAAUGUGAAUUGCAGAAUUCAGUGAAUCAUCGAAUCUUUGAACGCACAUUGCGCCCCCUGGUAAUCCGGGGGGCAUGCCUGUCCGAGCGUCAUUACAACCCUCAAGCUCAGCUUGGUGUUGGGCCCCGCCGCCCCGGCGGGCCCUAAAGUCAGUGGCGGUGCCGUCCGGCUCCGAGCGUAGUAAUUCUUCUCGCUCUGGAGGUCCGGUCGUGUGCUCGCCAGCAACCCCCAAUUUUUUUCAGGUUGACCUCGGAUCAGGUAGGGAUACCCGCUGAACUUAAGCAUAUCAAUAAGCGGAGGA
Molecule: unclassified non-coding RNA, 329 nt
Filed under: soil metagenome
Description: partial contains 5.8S ribosomal RNA, internal transcribed spacer 2, and large subunit ribosomal RNA
Rfam family: 5.8S ribosomal RNA (bases 1-120)
Source: RNAcentral